Molecule: long non-coding RNA, 387 nt
Organism: Wasmannia auropunctata (little fire ant)
Lineage: Eukaryota; Metazoa; Arthropoda; Insecta; Hymenoptera; Formicidae
Exons: 3
Source: RefSeq, a predicted model, not a curated record
ACCAUAAUCUAAAAAACAAGAAUAUUUUUGCUACAAGAUUACAAAAGAGAAUUUCAUACGUGCGGCACACAAAAUGGAUGCAAUUAUAGCGCGCCGCACAGCGUUUGAGGGACCGGUCGCUGCUGAGAUUGAAAGAUUAAUGUGCGAGGUCGUCGAUUAUUUGCGAGCGCAGAGAGGAAAACACGAGAGCACGCUCAUCGAAAAUUAAUCGACAUGCAGGAAUGUUACAUCUAACAAAACCAUUUAUUAGUAAAAGUAGAACUUUUACGUAGACAUAACACAGCAUCAAGAACAUCAUAUUUUAAGUAAGAUCUUAAUAAAACUGAUAAUUUGAAGUUUUAAAUCUUUGAGAUCUGUUAUAUCAUAUUGGCAAUAUUAAUUUCUGUA